This 200-nucleotide ribosomal RNA is filed under the name uncultured bacterium. Its description in RNAcentral is "partial 16S ribosomal RNA". It matches the Rfam family "Bacterial small subunit ribosomal RNA", at positions 8 to 212 of the family's 1533-position model. The record is from RNAcentral.
AGAGUUUGAUCCUGGCUCAGGACGAACGCUGGCGGCGUGCCUAAUACAUGCAAGUCGAGCGGUCCCUUCGGGGAUAGCGGCGGACGGGUGAGUAACACGUAGGCAACCUGCCUGUAAGAUCGGGAUAACUACCGGAAACGGUAGCUAAGACCGGAUAAGUGGUUUUUCCGCAUGGAGGAAUCAAGAAACACGGAGCAAUC